GUUUGCUGACUGCUCUGCAGAAUUUGGACUCGUGCAUACCCACAGUUGCGGUCCCUGAAGACACCCACUUUCUGGAAUGUCCCUGCAGAUGGGGCAAAUGACACCAUCUGGACACUGGAAACAGCACAUGCUUGGGGAAAUGCCCCCCAGCCCGAGCGGAGCGGCUAGAGCAAAGUCUCCUCCCAGCUAAAUGAGCUUCCCUCGCUGCCCUUUCUUCCGGUCGGCUUGGCUUUCAUCUCCCUCCCUCUGCUCUCUCUGUCCCGCCCAGCAGGCAGGUGAACCUGCAGGUUCUGUGAUCCUGCUGCUCUGCAGAAAAAUAAAAACCAAAACUC
This is a long non-coding RNA of Choloepus didactylus (southern two-toed sloth), 332 nucleotides long. RefSeq lists it as uncharacterized. NCBI's taxonomy places the organism in Eukaryota, Metazoa, Chordata, Mammalia, Pilosa, Megalonychidae. The record is from RefSeq and is a predicted model, not a curated record. The transcript has 3 exons.